RNAcentral lists this ribosomal RNA (419 nucleotides) under uncultured Acidovorax sp. RNAcentral describes it as "bacterial SSU rRNA". It matches the Rfam family "Bacterial small subunit ribosomal RNA", at positions 963 to 1382 of the family's 1533-position model. The record is from RNAcentral. Lineage: Bacteria; Pseudomonadati; Pseudomonadota; Betaproteobacteria; Burkholderiales; Comamonadaceae.
CGAAAACCUUACCCACCUUUGACAUGUACGGAAUCCUUUAGAGAUAGAGGAGUGCUCGAAAGAGAGCCGUAACACAGGUGCUGCAUGGCUGUCGUCAGCUCGUGUCGUGAGAUGUUGGGUUAAGUCCCGCAACGAGCGCAACCCUUGUCAUUAGUUGCUACAUUCAGUUGGGCACUCUAAUGAGACUGCCGGUGACAAACCGGAGGAAGGUGGGGAUGACGUCAAGUCCUCAUGGCCCUUAUAGGUGGGGCUACACACGUCAUACAAUGGAUGGUACAAAGGGUCGCCAACCCGCGAGGGGGAGCCAAUCCCAUAAAGCCAUUCGUAGUCCGGAUCGCAGUCUGCAACUCGACUGCGUGAAGUCGGAAUCGCUAGUAAUCGUGGAUCAGAAUGUCACGGUGAAUACGUUCCCGGGUCUU